AUGUCCGACAGAUUGCCCUGCAAAGUCCCUGGCAUCGGCCCGGCUGCCUGGGGCGCACGGCUGUGGGCACGGAGGGCGGGGCGAUGCGCGGCCUGCUGCGCAUGCGUGUGCGGGGCCUGCUGCGCAUGCGAGAGCGGGGCUCGGCCUCCAUGCCGCUGGAGGGCGCCCGCCUCGCUGGCUGCCUGCACCCGCCGCGGAGGCGGCGGUCCCCACGGAGACUCUCGUCACCCUGGGUGCUGCAACACCGUCUCCACCCAGGACCAUGCGGCGGCUGCCAUCGCCAAGGCUGGCAUUCCAGUGUAUGCCUGGAAGGGCGGAACGGACGAGGAGUACCUGUGGUGCAUUGAGCAGCGCCGUGCUUCGAGGACGGGCCCCUCAGCAGGCUUCGGGAUGGCGGGGGCGACCUCACGACCGCAUCCCCACCACGCGCCCGCAGCUCCUGCCGGGCAUCCGAGGCGUCUCCGAGGAGACCACGGCCGGGGUCCACGAGCGCCGCAAGAUGGCGGCCAGUGGGAUCCUGAAGGCCCUGCCAUCGACGUCAGCGACUCCGUCACCAAGAGCAGAUCUGACAGCCUCCGUGGCUGCCGGGAGUCCCUCGGAGACGGCAUCGAGCGGGCCCCAGACGUGAUGAUGGCCGGCAAGGCAGCCGUGGUAGCAGGCUAUGGCGGUGUGGGCGAGGGCUGGGCCCAGGCCUGUGGGGUUUCGGGCCCGCGUCGUCGUCACUGAGAUGGACCCCAUCGGCGCACUGUCGCGCUGCAGGCUGCCAUGGAGGGCUAUGAGGUGACCGCCCUGGAUGAGGACUGUCAGGAGGACAUCUUUCUUGGCUGGCACUUUGACCAGAUGAAGGAUGCUGCCAUCGUGUGUAACACUGGACACUUGGACAUGGACAUCAGUGUCAAGUGGCUCAACGAGAACGCUGUGGAGAAGGUGAACAUCAAGCCCUCAAGCCGCAGGUGCACUGGUACCGGCUGAAGAAUGGGCGGCACAUCAUCCUGCUGGCUGAGGGUCAGCUGGUCAUCCUGGGUUGUGCCAUGGGCCACCCCAGCUUCCUGAAGAGUAACUCCUUCACCAACCAGGUGAUGGCGAAGAUCGAGCUGUAGACCCACCCAGACAAGUACCCUGUUGGGGUUCACUUCCUGCCCAGGAAGCUGGAUGAGGCAGUGGCUGAAGCCCACCUGGGCAAGCUGAACGUGAAGUUGGCCAAGCUGACUGAGAAGCAGGCCCACUGCCUGGGCAUGUCCCGUGAUGGCCCCUUCAAGCUGGAUCACGACUGCUACUGAGAGCCAGGUCUGGGCUUCACCUUCCAACUGCUGUCCUUGCCCAGGUCCUGCCUUUCCUCCCUAAGAGCAAACGGCACCAACUUUGUGACUGGUUUGUCAGUGUCCCCAUCUACUCUUUAGGGCUGGUCACUCAGUGUUUGGCCUCUGCUGCAGCCCUCAUACUGUUCCAAGUGUGGCAGCAGGAACUGAGGGGCCCCUUCUCAAGUCCAGGUCACAAUGGAGGUACCAGCCACAGGGAACCAUGAACUCACUGGUCUUGGAACUGCUCACUAAGUCAGUCCUUCCUUAGCCUCGAAGUCAGUAGUGGAGUCACAAAGCCCAUGUAUUUUGUCAUCUAGGCCUUCACCUGGUCUGUGGACUUAGAUCUGUAUAUUUGGUUUACGGGUCUGGUGGUUCCUCAGCCCACGAGAGAUGAGGAGCUAUAUUGAAGGGCAAAGAGAAGCUGUUGUUUGAAUUUUCCUGAGAGCUUGGCUUAGUGCUGGCCUUCUCUUAAACCUCAUAACAACGAGGUUAGUACUUUUAGUCCUUGUUUUACAGGGGCUAGAAUAGACUGUUAAGGGGCAACUGAGAAAGAACAGAGAAGUGACAGUCAGAGGUUGAGAGGGGCCAGAAAAACAUAAAAGCAGGCAUCGAUCUGCUACCACUUUGUAACCAGAUGGUUCCCAUCACAACCUGGGUCAAAAAGAGAAUAAUUUGGCCUCUAAUGUUUAUAAUGUUAAAAUAAAGCAGGAAUGUGGGUACAUAAAGAUCCUGAUGCCU
Molecule: RNA transcript, 2039 nt
Organism: Sapajus apella (tufted capuchin)
Lineage: Eukaryota; Metazoa; Chordata; Mammalia; Primates; Cebidae
Gene name: adenosylhomocysteinase pseudogene
Exons: 1
Source: RefSeq, a predicted model, not a curated record